CGAGAGGCCUGGGCGGCCGCUUCCGGCCGCGUGCCGGGGGAGGAAAGUCCGGGCUCCACGGGUCAGGGUGGUUGCCAACGGCAACCGACCGCGAGGUCAGGGAAAGUGCCACAGAAAACAGACCGCCAACCCCCGCGGCUCGCCGUGGGGCGGCAAGGGUGAAAAGGUGCGGUAAGAGCGCACCGCGGUCCCGGUGACGGGGCCGGCAGGGCAAACCCCACCUGGAGAAAGGCCAAAUAGGGGGGCGUGGCGACGACCCGCGCCGUUCGCUCCCGGGUAGGCCGUUCGAGGUCGGGCGCGAGCUCGAUCCCAGAGAAAUGGUCGCCACCCCCGGCGCCUCGGCGCCGGGGGGACAGAAUCCGGCUUACACGGCCUCUCGCGUC
Molecule: RNase P RNA, 383 nt
Filed under: Planctomycetota bacterium
Lineage: Bacteria; Pseudomonadati; Planctomycetota
Description: RNase P RNA component class A
Rfam family: Bacterial RNase P class A
About the family: Ribonuclease P (RNase P) is a ubiquitous endoribonuclease, found in archaea, bacteria and eukarya as well as chloroplasts and mitochondria. Its best characterised activity is the generation of mature 5'-ends of tRNAs by cleaving the 5'-leader elements of precursor-tRNAs.
Source: RNAcentral